CCUACGGGUGGCAGCAGUGGGGGAUAUUGCACAAUGGGGGAAACCCUGAUGCAGCGACGCCGCGUGGGUGAAGAAGUAUUUCGGUAUGUAAAGCCCUAUCAGCAGGGAAGAAAGAAGACGGUACCUGACUAAGAAGCCCCGGCUAACUACGUGCCAGCAGCCGCGGUAAUACGUAGGGGGCGAGCGUUAUCCGGAUACACUGGGUGUAAAGGGAGCGUAGACGGCCGUGCAAGCCAGGAGUGAAAGCCCGGGGCCCAACCCCGGGACGGCUCUUGGAACUGUGCGGCUGGAGUGCGGGAGGGGCAGGCGGAAUUCCUGGUGUAGCGGUGAAAUGCGUAGAUAUCAGGAGGAACACCGGCGGCGAAGGCGGCCUGCUGGACCGCGACUGACGUUGAGGCUCGAAAGCGUGGGGAGCGAACAGGAUUAGAUACCCGUGUAGUC
This 441-nucleotide ribosomal RNA is filed under the name uncultured bacterium. Its description in RNAcentral is "partial 16S ribosomal RNA". It matches the Rfam family "Bacterial small subunit ribosomal RNA", at positions 338 to 795 of the family's 1533-position model. The record is from RNAcentral.